This 969-nucleotide long non-coding RNA is filed under the name Cyanistes caeruleus (blue tit). RNAcentral's name for it is "lncRNA (ENSCCEG00000005776.1)". The record is from RNAcentral. Lineage: Eukaryota; Metazoa; Chordata; Aves; Passeriformes; Paridae.
AAUUGCUUUGGGUGCCCAAAACAAUUCCCUUGGAACGUGGAGGUUCAACACCAACACCAGGGGCUGCCGUGAGCUCUUCUGCACAGCCCAAAACCUGCGGGGAGGAGAACCCCAAACUCUCAGCACAGGGGGAGGGAGAACCCCAAACUCUCAGCACAGGGGAAGGGAGAACCCCAAACUCUCAGCACAGGGGAAGGGGAACCCCAAACUCUCAGCACAGGGGGAAGGGAGAACCCCAAACUCUCAGCACAGGGGGAGGGAAAAGGAGAGAGCAGAGACUGAGAGACGGCAGCAGGAACCGUGGGGCUGCCCAGAAAUCCGGGACGCGCACGGAACAUCCAGCCCCGCUCGGAUCCGCCGCGGAUCCCGCAGAGACACAGGACACACACGGAUCCUGGGGACACGAGGGGCAGGACUGAUGGACAUGGGAACAGGAAUGGUGGGAACAGGAGAUGGGAACAGGAGAUGGGAACAGGGAAUGAUGGAAACAGGAGAUGGGAACAGGAAUGAUGGGAACAGGAGACGAGGGAACAGAAGAGCUAUUGCUAAAACCAGGAGAUGUGGAAGCACCUAUUGCUGGCAGGGCUGCACACCUGGUACAACCUGCUGAGCUCUGAGAGUAACUUUUGAUAUUCAAGUGCAAAACAUUCAGGCUUUUGGAGCAAAACAAGGCAGAGCUGACUAAGGCAGAGGGGGCUGAGGGAGGCGGUGAGACACGAUGGGAGAGGAGGGUUGGCUGGGAAGGAGGUGCCUGGGAUCCACAGAAACAUUGGCACUUGUGUGGGGAGCACCGACACCAUUCCUGUCUGUGUGCAGCCCCAGCUCCCUGGGAGAUGUUGGCUCUGCAGCUCUCCCGUCAAAGCCCUCCUGAGAAUUCCUGUCUCCCUUUUCCCAGCACCCAUUCCUGUGCCCACAGCUCCUCCCGAGCUCCUGCAGCUCGCAGGGACACGGGGGGCACCCAGAGAGGGG